UAAUGUGCCACUGUUGCAGAACUCCCAGCGGUGCCAAGUCUGCGGGCAGAGAAGGAAGUGCUUUUCUCACUUGAGUGGAAGAGAGCGUAGUGGUGGUUUCUCUUUUUUAGGAACUGUGUUGUAUACAAAGCUGUAUGUUCUGUCUUAACAGGGCAGGCCCGCCUGUUCUGCAGAGAGCAGACCGCGGCCGCGCUCCCUCAGCCUCCCACCCGCCUCCAUCCCUCCGUGGGCAUUCAGCCGGCAGGCACCUAGCUCUGGGGCUGGAGGUAGACGCAGGACAGUGCCUCACCUCGAGGGACUCUGUCCAGGGACCCACAGACAACAAAAUAACGCGGGACACUACCGGGCUAGCCCCGAAAGUCCCUCCCGCGCCUGAUCCUUCGUCUUCCAGUGGCAAACUUGGAGCCCCGUGCUGAAGAUGGUUCUGAGGAAAGGAGGAGCUGGGGUUGCUGAGCCACGGCCAGGAGCAGUGUGAGUGGAGUGAGCCAUCCUCACGAGUGACCCGAGAGGCCAUGCUUAGGACAGCAGUGUCCCAAGAGGGAAAGACUGUACAUCCCUGAAUCACCAUGUGGAAGAGAGGGCCUUCCAGCCAGGAGCAUCCGCAGGAGACUCUGAGAGGAGGGGAAAUUGCUGCCACCGUGGUUUAUAUCGAGAUGUCUCCCUUAAGCCUCAUGCAGACACAGUUUGUUAUUUACAGGCUGGAGGCCUGGAAGCUGGUUGGAAGGACCGCGUGAGUCUGUCAGAAGGCUGAAGAGGCUGUGCGGGAGGCCGAAGGAACUGCAGGCCAGUGAUAAGAGGCAAUGGUGAAGACAGGAGCUUCUCUAGAGAGAGAACUGUCUCCUUCUCCUCUCUUUUUCACUCUGCCCACGCGACAGGCCUGGUCGCCGCCUCCCACGUCUAGGUUGGGUCGUCCCGCCUCCGUUGGCUGGUCUACCUGUCAGUCAUCACAGACACCAGUUCUUACCCGAGUCAUGCUAUGUCACAGUGAACAGUGACAGUCCACCCCUUGUCAGCCCGACGGUCAGGCGCAUCUCCUUCAACCAUGCUCAGUCUCCAGAUACCACAGCAAGUUCACAGUUACACCCACCGCAACACAAAUAUCCUGCAUACAAGCAGAAAUGCAGUCAUUCCUUCCCCACGAUAGAAGGCGAAGUUUUUCUUUGGGUGAGGCUUACACUUCUCCUGGUGUUCAGUAACUUGAACAUUUUAAUAUAGAUUUAACAAUACUUAAGAACUGAUGGUGCUGGGUGCGGUGGUAUGAUCCACAAUCUCAGCACUCCUGGGAGGCUGAGACAGGAGGAUCACAAGUUCAAGCUCAGUCAGGGCAGUUUGGUGACUUAGUGAAACCUCAUCUCAAAAUCUGAAAAUGGCUGGGGAUCUCAGUGCAAAAGGAUUGCAUUUAACCUCCAGUACUGCCAAGGGGGCUGGGGAGAGGGAGAGAAAGACAGAGAGAGAACUAUUAAGUCAAUCAAUGUUAUAGUAGCAAGAAAAAGCUGUCUGCUUGAUAUAUGUGUCUGUAUGUAUGCACGAGCAUAUUAACAGAAUAGGAAGGAGAUGCUCAUUACAGUUACAGCCCUCAUUUCUGUAACUUGUCAUGGAGUCGUAGCUGGUACUGUAACCACCUUCUUCUACUCACUCUGUGUUCUCUUGGCCUUCGGCCAGCACCUCAGCAGGCCUUGGUUCUUUUCCUGGCAGGACAACGUAUACUUGGUCCCUGGAGGUUCUGGGCCACUUGUCAUCCUGCCUGGAUUGGCUUGCUGUACCUUCCCACGACCUUAACAACAGGGUAGAGCAACACCAGGAGACACCCUCAGGCAUCUCCUGCACUGCAAACACAUUCCUCCUCUUCUCCAUCAUGGAGGAAUAUGGUCUAGUUUCCCCUUGGUAGCUUGGAGCAGUUCCCCCACCACCACUAAAUCCCCUUUCAGCUUUUUUCACUGGGAGACCUAAAGAGACAGAAAUGGCCAGGGGGAAGCCUUGGCCUCCAGUUCAAUGGGACCCUUGUGCCUCCUGGUACAAGCCUUCCCCUGUCUGUCUGACCACCUCCCCUAUCACAGCACAGCUGAUCUGCUAGUUGGGUAGAAAGGGAGGCCUGCUGGAUUGGGGCCUUUGCCAACUCAGUAACUCGAUGUGCAGGGCAGGACCCAGAGCGUGGGCAGUGUGGAUCUUCACUGCGGCUGUGCUGGCCGUGGACUCUGCCCUCGUCCAUUCCCAGAGAGCCUGAGAGGUCGACAGCCGUUAGCUGUGUGAUUCCCUUUCUAUACCUGAUACUGAUACUGAUACUGCUUGUAUGUUCUUUCUUUUGCUUUUUCUUGGUCAAUUUUAUUAAGCUUUUCAGAGAAGGAGUCUUUUUGCUUUCUUAUUUUCUGUUCUAUGUUUAUUUUCUACUUCCUUGAUUUGUGUCCUUGUUUAUGUUGCCUUCACUCUUUCAUUUAAAAUUUUUUUCCUUUAGCUGGGCAUGGUGGCACAGGCCUGUAAUUCUAGCAC
Long non-coding RNA from Fukomys damarensis (Damara mole-rat), 2487 nucleotides. RefSeq lists it as uncharacterized. Lineage: Eukaryota; Metazoa; Chordata; Mammalia; Rodentia; Bathyergidae. The transcript has 3 exons. The record is from RefSeq and is a predicted model, not a curated record.